Molecule: ribosomal RNA, 841 nt
Filed under: uncultured bacterium
Lineage: Bacteria
Description: bacterial SSU rRNA
Rfam family: Bacterial small subunit ribosomal RNA
Source: RNAcentral
GAAGUUAAAGGCAUNGGCUCAACCAAUGUAUGCUUUNGAAACUGUUAGACUUGAGUGCAGAAGGGGAGAGUGGAAUUCCAUGUGUAGCGGUGAAAUGCGUAGAUAUAUGGAGGAACACCGGUGGCGAAAGCGGCUCUCUGGUCUGUCACUGACGCUGAGGCUCGAAAGCGUGGGUAGCGAACAGGAUUAGAUACCCUGGUAGUCCACGCCGUAAACGCUGAGUGCUAGGUGUUAGGUCCUUUCCGGGACUUAGUGCCGACGCUAACGCAUUAAGCACUCCGCCUGGGGAGUACGACCGCAAGGUUGAAACUCAAAGGAAUUGACGGGGGCCCGCACAAGCGGUGGAGCAUGUGGUUUAAUUCGAAGCAACGCGAAGAACCUUACCAGGUCUUGACAUCCCGAUGCCCGCUCUAGAGAUAGAGUUUUUCUUCGGAACAUCGGAGACAGGUGGUGCAUGGUUGUCGUCAGCUCGUGUCGUGAGAUGUUGGGUUAAGUCCCGCAACGAGCGCAACCCUUAUUGUUAGUUGCCAUCAUUAAGUUGGGCACUCUAGCGAGACUGCCGGUAAUAAACCGGAGGAAGGUGGGGAUGACGUCAAAUCAUCAUGCCCCUUAUGACCUGGGCUACACACGUGCUACAAUGGUUGGUACAACGAGUCGCAAGCCGGUGACGGCAAGCUAAUCUCUGAAAGCCAAUCUCAGUUCGGAUUGUAGGCUGCAACUCGCCUACAUGAAGUCGGAAUCGCUAGUAAUCGCGGAUCAGCACGCCGCGGUGAAUACGUUCCCGGGCCUUGUACACACCGCCCGUCACACCACGAGAGUUUGUAACACCCAAAGUCGGUGA